RNAcentral lists this ribosomal RNA (468 nucleotides) under Anopheles rampae. RNAcentral's name for it is "eukaryotic LSU rRNA". The stretch from base 1 to 123 matches the Rfam family "5.8S ribosomal RNA", at positions 36 to 154 of the family's 154-position model. Lineage: Eukaryota; Metazoa; Arthropoda; Insecta; Diptera; Culicidae. The record is from RNAcentral.
AUGAAGACCGCAGCUAAAUGCGCGUCAGAAUGUGAACUGCAGGACACAUGAACACCGAUAAGUUGAACGCAUAUUGCGCAUCGGACGUCUCAACCCGACCGAUGCACACAUCCUUGAGUGCCUACUCAGUUAUCAAUAACCUCAUACCAAACUGACUGUCCCAUCUCACGAUGGGCUGUCGCAGCAUGGCGUGCUCGGACCCACUCCUGAUGUGGGACCGUGGGCGCUGAAAGUGAGAGUGCUAUUAUGACAGAUGGUACUUGUAAGGGCGAGCGAUGAACGGGCGCGCGACAAGCCGCAUGGUUCGACCUCCAGUAUCAACCAGGGAUGAAACCCCCGCAGCCUAACACCAGGCGCUAGCAAAGGGGUCCCCGGUUGGCUCGGGUCGAGUAACACUUGCGGCCCAACGCGCACGUUGAAUCGUCGAUUCGCGCCUUCUCUCUCAAAGUAGGCCUCAAGUGAUGUGUG